Non-coding RNA from Parasteatoda tepidariorum (common house spider), 1113 nucleotides. The record is from RefSeq and is a predicted model, not a curated record. NCBI's taxonomy places the organism in Eukaryota, Metazoa, Arthropoda, Arachnida, Araneae, Theridiidae.
AACUGUAAAACAUCGUGAAUUGUAAACAAAGCGAAUUUAUUUUUUACAAGUAAUCUCAAGCUGAAAUUUAUCUAACUAUAUCGGAUAAUUAUAUUUAUGUUGUCCUCUAAGAGUACGAUGUCUGAAUAGUUCUUGUGUGAAGUGAAAAUUAACUAACGCAGCAAUGCUAUGCAUCACUGUAAAGCUUCUGAAAUUAUCAUUUAUCAUGCUAUUGCUUUAAUUUUUCAUACGAACAUGAAUGUAGUGAACUUAUUUCGUUUUCAAUUUCUUGAUGAAAAUCAGUGCAGUGUUUUCAUUAGUGUGAAUUCCUGUAAAAUUAACACAAUCAUUUCAGUGAAUAUUAGUGUUAUUAAUUGCUUCUGGUUUUAUGGUGUGAUCCUAAAGAAAUUUUUUUUUUUCAAAAUGCGUGAUUCUAAAAUACUAAACUGGCAUAUUGUCGGAAUAUUGUUAUGAAGCUAUCUUAAUUAACUAACUACUUCAAAUUGAGUGGAAAACAAAACAUUUAUCAGUUAUUCAUUAGGAAUGAAAUAACUUUCGUGACCUUUCAUUGUACUACCUCAGGAUAGGAUCUGAAGGACUGUUUGCUUCCUUAUUCGACCUUUUCCGCCUUUGGUGUGGAGGGUUGUUUGUUGGCGAGAGAAGUUUGAUGGUUCCUUAAAAUUUUCUUCAACAUUAAGUACGUGGAAAAAAUUCCAUGUCUCCCAAAAGAGAUCGUAAAUGGAGGAGAUUGUUACACAAAGGUAGUAUUUUCUGGAAUUUUUACUGUAUUUAAGUCUAGAUUAAUUUUUAUAUUAUACUAAUGAGUAACAUUCCAUUCCGUGCCAAGGGAAACGUUUAAUCUAUAUGUUGUAACCAUCAUUAGUGCAAUCACAUUAUUUGAUAAUCAAUCUAUUAUAAAGGUUUAGGAUAAAACGAAUAAGUAAAUAAAAAAUAUUUACUUGGUACUACUAUACUUGGCUAACUGCCUGCUUUGAUUUCAACAAGAGGGAUGUGAGAUGAUAGUAAAUAUGAUGGGCUGAUAACUUUGCAGUAUACCUUGGCUACAUAUCUUAGAAGAAUUUUAAAGAGUGCUUAGACUUCCAUGUUGUAUAUUCAUCCCUGAGUGGAAAAUUU